RNAcentral lists this long non-coding RNA (1080 nucleotides) under Bos grunniens (domestic yak). RNAcentral describes it as "lncRNA (ENSBGRG00000025064.1)". The record is from RNAcentral. Lineage: Eukaryota; Metazoa; Chordata; Mammalia; Artiodactyla; Bovidae.
AGUGGAUUGUCAGAACCUUCUCCAGGGAUCUUCCGACUCAGGAAUCGAACCCGAGUCUCCCGCAUUGCGGGCAGGCGCUUACCGUCUGAGCCACCAGGGAGUUUGCUAGGAGAUCCUCAAUACUUCUAUUAUUUCACAACCGCCUGGCCCGCCCGAUGGCUGAACAUAGAACUCAGCUCCCACACCCCAGGGCGCAGCUGGAGGUCCAGCAGACAGCUGCAGCCCUGCUCACUGCCCUGCGGGUCCCCACCAGCCCCUCCUCCCCGUCACCAGGCAGUAGGCCGCUUACGCGCCUCUCCUCUUGGCGGCGGCUCUUGGCUGAGGGCUGCCCGCAGCAGGGACACCCAGCUCCAGCAGCAGGGGCGGCGCGGGGCGGCCGGGCCAGAGGCGCCGGGCUCAGCGGGAGGCUGGGGUUUCGGGCGUCUCGGAGAAGCGGAUGAGCGGGGAUGGGGCGGCUCGGUGGGGGCAGGGUGGGCAGCGACGAGCGGGCGGUGUUGGCGAGGCUGUUCCACGCGCUCUCGGCCAGCCCCGGGGUUGCAGGUCCCGCCGAGGCCCAGCGAGGCGAGCAGGGCGGUGCCGCGCAAUAGCGCGUUGGAUCAGUUUGGGCGCCCCGAGCCACUGCCGCGUUCGGUCGGGCCCGGCCGCCGGGCUCCUCGGGCUCCGGGCUCGGCCGCGGGAGGUUACCUGGCGGCGGGUACACAGGUUAGGCCGACUUCCGGCGGCCCUGAAGCAAGGGCUGACUUCUGCUCCCCUGACUCCCCAGUCCAAGUCCUCCCUCGGCAUCCCCAUUCUGGCUUUUCAGAAGUGUUGGGGUGGAGGAGGGCAGUGCAACCUUUGAAAGCAGCAGGAGCUAAGCCAGGUGCCCUGGGGCCCACGAAAGGAGGGCUGGCUGGAGGGAAGGCCGAGGGUCCACCAAGAAGCAAGCUCAAGCCAGAGCAGGGCCGGCCUCAGUGCCCUCAAUGGGCAGCAGAAGAUAUCCACAGGGGCCAGAGUCACAGCUGGGACCCGUGCGGUGCCCAUCUCGUCCCUGGUUGGGCAGCCCUGGUCCUUCUACUUGCCUGCUCUGGCCUCCAGUGGUAA